GGCGGGGUGUCAGAUUUUUAUGAGUUGGUUUUAAGCACCAGAUAUGGAGGUUUGCUCUCCCCCUGCUG
Molecule: transfer RNA, 68 nt
Filed under: Azygia robusta
Lineage: Eukaryota; Metazoa; Platyhelminthes; Trematoda; Azygiida; Azygiidae
Description: tRNA-Leu
Source: RNAcentral